CUUCUCAUGAAUACCUUUUCCAUUGAUGCAUUAUAUAGAUGAAUACUUGAAAAAGAGUAUGGGUUAUUAUAGGUAUAUCUCAUGAUAUCUGCUAGAAUAUACUAGCAUUUUUGGUGUAGUAUAGUAACCUGUGAGUAUCAAUUUACUUACGUAUAUGACAGAAUAAUGGCAUUUUGACAUUAAAUAUUCCAUUAAUAUCAGAGUAUACAAAACGCUGGCGAGCAACAGUCCAUACCAGUAUACUUAGGUGUUCAUGCUGUGUCACGCUGCAUACCUCAUUAGAGUAACAUUCGACAGAUACCAGUAUAAAAUAAUAUAAAGAGAGAAAAAGAAUCAUACAAUGAAAUUACAUCACUUAUACCAGGCUUAUGAUUUACACGUCAGACGCUGGUUUCUUAUAUAUUCACAGACUCAACAGUAGCAAAGUAUCAAAACAGUUGGAAGGCCAACAUCAGUAA
This 458-nucleotide long non-coding RNA is filed under the name Mytilus galloprovincialis (Mediterranean mussel). Lineage: Eukaryota; Metazoa; Mollusca; Bivalvia; Mytilida; Mytilidae. The record is from RNAcentral.